GAGUUUGAUCAUGGCUCAGAACGAACGCUGGCGGCGUGGAUAAGACAUGCAAGUCGAACGGGAGAAUUGCUAGCUUGCUAAUAAUUCUCUAGCGGCGCACGGGUGAGUAACACGUGAGUAACCUGCCCCGAGGAGCGGGAUAGCCCUGGGAAACUGGGAUUAAUACCGCAUAGUAUCGAAAGAUUAAAGCAGCAAUGCGCUUGGGGAUGGGCUCGCGGCCUAUUAGUUAGUUGGUGAGGUAACGGCUCACCAAGGCGAUGACGGGUAGCCGGUCUGAGAGGAUGUCCGGCCACACUGGAACUGAGACACGGUCCAGACACCUACGGGUGGCAGCAGUCGAGAAGUCAUUCACAAUGGGGGAAACCCUGAUGGUGCGACGCCGCGUGGGGGAAUGAAGGUCUUCGGAUUGUAAACCCCUGUCAUGUGGGAGCAAAUUAAAAAGAUAGUACCACAGGAGGAAGAGACGGCUAACUCUGUGCCAGCCGCCGCCGUAAG
RNAcentral lists this ribosomal RNA (495 nucleotides) under uncultured microorganism. RNAcentral describes it as "bacterial SSU rRNA". It matches the Rfam family "Bacterial small subunit ribosomal RNA", at positions 9 to 524 of the family's 1533-position model. The record is from RNAcentral.